Molecule: ribosomal RNA, 118 nt
Filed under: Gossypium arboreum
Lineage: Eukaryota; Viridiplantae; Streptophyta; Magnoliopsida; Malvales; Malvaceae
Source: RNAcentral
GGGUGUGAUCAUUCCAGCACUAUUGCAUUGGAUCCCAUCAGAACUCCGCAGUUGGGCGUGCUUGGGCAGAGUAGUACUAGGAUGGCUAACCUCCUGGGAAGUCGUCAUGUUGCACCUC